GCAGAGAGGAAGGUCCAACCCUGAACAUCCCAGUCCCACCUCUCAGCCCCCACAGUAUAUAUAUCUGGUGAGAGAUCUGCUCCCCCUCCGACUACGACCUCCCCAGUGAUUAGAGAAACACAACCUCCAGCAAUCUUAUCUCCUUCUGUCUCCAAAGGCACAGUGACCAAUCAGGGCAAAGAGAUGGAAUCCCUGUCCCUCGUCCUGCUUCUCCUCUCCCCAGCGUUCGCUAUGCCAAUGAGGCGGUUGGUGUCCUCCUCAGAGUCGUCCUCUGAGUCUGAGUCCCAUGAGUCCUCCUCCUCCUCCUCCGUUGAGUCCUAUGACUCAGCUUCCUCCUCCUCAGAAGAAGAAGAGGAGCGUUCCACCCCUGGUACACUGGCCCCACCCACUGUUGCCGUAACAACUAUCACAGCGGCGGACGUGGACACGACUGCAAUGGGACCAAUCACGGAGGGGAGCACGCCCACUGCGGCCACUCCCAGCAUGGUGACGGACGCGGUGACAGG
Molecule: long non-coding RNA, 506 nt
Organism: Gadus macrocephalus (Pacific cod)
Lineage: Eukaryota; Metazoa; Chordata; Actinopteri; Gadiformes; Gadidae
Exons: 3
Source: RefSeq, a predicted model, not a curated record